Molecule: non-coding RNA, 352 nt
Organism: Python bivittatus (Burmese python)
Lineage: Eukaryota; Metazoa; Chordata; Lepidosauria; Squamata; Pythonidae
Source: RefSeq, a predicted model, not a curated record
CAGAAGGCUUCCUCCUGAGCCAGGCAGAGGAGCAGAAGGAGCCGGUCGAGUUGCAGUGGACAGGAGAGAUCCUGAGGGAAGGAGGAAUCCAUCCAGUCCCCCUCAGGACCCGUUUUUCAGAAGGAUCUCUCAGGAAGAUCCAAGUGAGGACACCUCAGGAGGGAAGACUCGAACGAAGUUGUCUGCUCUUUCUGGUGGAGCUGAAACAGUGGCUCCACCUACAGCUCCAGUAAGAGGAGGAAAUUUAUCUCUUGAAUUUGUAUUCUCCCUUUCCUGCAGGCAGUCAAGCUGGUGUAUAUAUCACUCUCUCCUUCCAUUUCCCCCCCUUUUUUGGGCCUGGGUGUUUUCUUGU